This 497-nucleotide ribosomal RNA is filed under the name uncultured bacterium. RNAcentral describes it as "partial 16S ribosomal RNA". It matches the Rfam family "Bacterial small subunit ribosomal RNA", at positions 28 to 507 of the family's 1533-position model. The record is from RNAcentral.
GAUGAACGCUGGCGGCGUGCCUAAUACAUGCAAGUCGAGCGAACGGACGAGAAGCUUGCUUCUCUGAUGUUAGCGGCGGACGGGAGAGUAACACGUGGAUAACCUACCUAUAAGACUGGGAUAACUUCGGGAAACCGGAGCUAAUACCGGAUAAUAUUUUGAACCGCAUGGUUCAAAAGUAAAAGUCGGUCUUUCUGUCACUUAUAGAUUGAUCCGCGCUGCAUUAGCUAGUUGGUAAGGUAACGGCUUACCAAGGCAACGAUGCAUAGCCGACCUGAGAGGGUGAUCGGCCACACGGGAAGUGAGACACGGUCCAGACUCCUACGGGAGGAAGCAGUAGGGAAUCUUCCGCAAUGGGGGAAAGCCUGACGGAGCAAAGCCGCGUGAGUGAUGAAGGUCUUCGGAUCGUAAAACUCUGUUAUUAGGGAAGAACAGAUGUGUAAGUAACUGUGAACAUCUUGACGGUACCGAAUCAGAAAGCCGCGGCUAACUACGUG